This 508-nucleotide ribosomal RNA is filed under the name uncultured Lachnospiraceae bacterium. RNAcentral's name for it is "bacterial SSU rRNA". It matches the Rfam family "Bacterial small subunit ribosomal RNA", at positions 904 to 1382 of the family's 1533-position model. Lineage: Bacteria; Bacillati; Bacillota; Clostridia; Lachnospirales; Lachnospiraceae. The record is from RNAcentral.
CUAUGCGCCUUGCCAGCCCGCUCAGAAACUUAAAGAAUUGCCGGGGGCCCGCACAAGCAGCGGAGCAUGUGGUUUAAUUCGAAGCAACGCGAAGAACCUUACCAAGACUUGACAUCCCCUGACAGCUGUUGAAAGGCAGUGUCUCUUCGGAGCAGGGAGACAGGUGGUGCAUGGUUGUCGUCAGCUCGUGUCGUGAGAUGUUGGGUUAAGUCCCGCAACGAGCGCAACCCUUAUCCUUAGUUACCAGCACGUAAAGGUGGGGACUCUAGGGAGACCGCCGGGGACGACUCGGAGGAAGGUGGGGACGACGUCAAAUCAUCAUGCCCCUUAUGUCUUGGGCUACACACGUGCUACAAUGGCCGCAACAGAGGGAAGCGAGAGCGCAAGCUGGAGCAAAACCCUAAAAAGCGGUCCCAGUUCGGAUUGUGGGCUGCAACCCGCCCACAUGAAGUCGGAGUUGCUAGUAAUCGCGAAUCAGCAUGUCGCGGUGAAUGCGUUCCCGGGCCUU